Odocoileus virginianus texanus is the source of this 1170-nucleotide non-coding RNA. The record is from RefSeq and is a predicted model, not a curated record. Lineage: Eukaryota; Metazoa; Chordata; Mammalia; Artiodactyla; Cervidae.
UCAGAGGAAGUCGACGUGCAGAGAGCAGCAGCAGCAGGAGCAGUUUGGGACAGAGGAGAUAGCACAUUGCCAAAAAGGGGCUCAGGACUCUAUGGAGAGAUGGAGACCAAGGAGAAACAUUCUUCAGGGAGGCGGCAUCCGGUGGAGUUGACGUGCUCAAGACGAAGCAUCAGACACACCUGGAGCUAUUCCCAGCCCGGCCAUUUACAAGUCCUGAGACCUGGAAACUUCUGUUGGACAGCAUUGUUCCAGAACCCAAGAUCUUAACCCCUUCACCAAAACGGUUCCAUGAGACUCACGCUGUCAACUGACAGUCUCUGUGGAGGUUUCCCAGGAAACAACAUUCAAGACAGGAAGAUUCCUAUCUCUUCCCACCACCACCCACCUUCAAGGAAAAAAAAAAAACUCUACCACCAUGUUAACAAGGAAAUCAAAAGAACUCUGAGUUGCAUUCAUCUAAUGACAAAUUCAAUAUAAAGCCCUGAAAAGUAUAUCCGAAUUCAUGACACACUUCUAAGAAGAUAGUUACUUUCACCUAUUGCUUCUGGAGGAUGAGAAUUCUGUAUUCAUUAUCUAAUCCUAUGCAUCUUUUCCCAACGCUGUGUUCAGUGACACAACAGCAGCUUGAUGGUGAUCUUCUCCUGGCUCCCCGAUCCAGGACUGACUCCUCUUCCUGUCCACUUCCAUCAAUAUACAUGCCUUCAAAAGGCAGGAGGAAGCGAGGCACAGGGUGGAGGCUGCAAUGGCCAGAGAAGCAGGUCGGGCAUGGAGCUAAAUCAUAAUAAGGAUCAUUCAUUCAUUCGUUCAUUCACUCCACAAAUGCUCUCCCAGAGCCCACUGUGCGCCUGGCAGGCUUCUACAGCCAGCACCAGCUAGAAAACGGGCCUUGAUCAAUGCAAGUGACGAUAGGAGAUUCAUUGUCCAAAAGCUGUUAGGAGCUUCACAAUGGUGGCACAGAGCAUUAAACCAACUGCAGGAUCCUUCUGAGCAGGAACCCCUUCUCAGCCCUUCUGAGCCCAGCCCAAUAGCACGGUUGUGGGGUUUGGGGAUAUGGUCGUGAACACAUCUGAACAAACAUGCCUGCCUUCAGGGGACCUCACAGUUUGAUGGAGAGAGUUGUUGUUCAGUCACUAAGUUGUGUCCAACUCUUUCCGACCCCAUGAACUGCAG